This 495-nucleotide ribosomal RNA is filed under the name uncultured bacterium. RNAcentral describes it as "partial 16S ribosomal RNA". It matches the Rfam family "Bacterial small subunit ribosomal RNA", at positions 30 to 523 of the family's 1533-position model. The record is from RNAcentral.
AUUGAACGCUGGCGGCAUGCCUUACACAUGCGAGUCGAACGACGCUAGGGGCAACUCUAGCGAGUGGCGUACGGGUGAGUAAUGCAUCGGAACGUGCCCUCUCGUGGGGGAUAACCAGUCGAAAGAUUGGCUAAUACCGCAUGAGCUCGAGAGAGGAAAGCGGGGGACCGCAAGGCCUCGCGCGAGAGGAGCGGCCGAUGCCCGAUUAGCUAGUUGGUGGGGUAAUGGCCCACCAAGGCGACGAUCUGUAGCUGGUCUGAGAGGACGACCAGCCACACUGGAACUGAGACACGGUCCAGACUCCUACGGGAGGCAGCAGUGGGGAAUUUUGGACAAUGGGCGAAAGCCUGAUCCAGCCAUUCCGCGUGCAGGAUGAAGGCCCUCGGGUUGUAAACUGCUUUUGUACAGAACGAAAAGGUUUCUACUAAUACUAGGAGCUCAUGACGGUACUGUAAGAAUAAGCACCGGCUAACUACGUGCCAGCAGCCGCGGUAA